Molecule: unclassified non-coding RNA, 564 nt
Filed under: Hevea brasiliensis (rubber tree)
Lineage: Eukaryota; Viridiplantae; Streptophyta; Magnoliopsida; Malpighiales; Euphorbiaceae
Source: RNAcentral
CCUUCAAAAUCAAAAUAGUAUAAAAUCACAGAUGAGUGAAUACAGAGUUACAAACAGAACUGAAGCAGCAACAGACAAAGUGUUCAACACUUCUUAAACAGACAUUACAAGCCAAACUGAAAUGUAGAGGCAGAUUGUGUGUUCUCAUUUGAGGAGGGUCUUCACUAUGGACUUGACAUUCAGCUUCUUCAAGUCUGUGUAAGACUGACCACAUCCCACAAACAUGACCGGGGCUCCAGAUAUGUAAACCAUGGACAACGCUGCUCCCACCUUAUCAUCAAUGGUGUCAAACUUGGUAAGGAGAAUUCCAUCAAUCAAUCUUGGAUUUGGUGAGGGUGAAAGGUCACCUAGUUUCUGGUUGAACUUUGAUAACUGAUCAACAGCGUCAUUUCCAACAAGUGCCUCACCAACAAAAAGGAUCAGAUCUGGACUGUUCACAUAUAUAAGCUUCGAAAGUGCUCGCAUCAGUGGUUCAUUAUCCUGCAUUCGACCAGCUGUAUCAACAAGAACGACAUCUGAACCAUUUCUAUUAGCCUCCUGGAUUGCUUCCUUGGCAACAAUAGC